GAAAUGCGAUAAUUAAUCUGAAUUGCAGAAUUCAGUGAAUCAUCGAGUCUUUGAACGCACAUUGCGCCCCCUGGUAUUCCGGGGGGCAUGCCUGUCCGAGCGUCAUUGCUGCCCUCAAGCACGGCUUGUGUGUUGGGCUUCCGUCCCUGGCAACGGGGACGGGCCCAAAAGGCAGUGGCGGCACCAUGUCUGGUCCUCGAGCGUAUGGGGCUUUGUCACCCGCUCCCGUAGGUCCAGCUGGCAGCUAGCCUCGCAACCAAUCUUUUUAACCAGGUUGACCUCGGAUCAGGUAGGGAUACCCGCUGAACUUAAGC
RNAcentral lists this unclassified non-coding RNA (314 nucleotides) under plant metagenome. Its description in RNAcentral is "partial contains 5.8S ribosomal RNA, internal transcribed spacer 2, and large subunit ribosomal RNA". The stretch from base 1 to 105 matches the Rfam family "5.8S ribosomal RNA", at positions 50 to 154 of the family's 154-position model. The record is from RNAcentral.